Molecule: long non-coding RNA, 650 nt
Filed under: Sus scrofa (pig)
Lineage: Eukaryota; Metazoa; Chordata; Mammalia; Artiodactyla; Suidae
Description: lncRNA (ENSSSCG00055012836.1)
Source: RNAcentral
AUGGCCCCAAAGGUAACUUCUUUUUUUUUUUUUUUUUUUUUGGCUUGCUCCACAGCUCCCAGGCCAAGGUGCAAUUGCAACCCACCCGGUCCUUUAAGGCGAUGUGCCAGGAGGGGAUUGAACCUGUGUCCCAGCACUCCAGAGAUGCCGCUGAUCCUGUUGCACCAUAGGGGAAACUCCAAAAGAUUCUCAGCAUCUCUCGGAGCUUUGCCUGAGAAAUACCUCUUUUGCCAUCCUGAGUCCCAAGCCCAUCUCCCAGCGAAGCCUAUUUCCUAGCGCCUGUGGGAGCAGCAGUCUACACAGGCCCUGGGGAUGGUAGAAAGGCCUCACCCGAAGGGGCCCACUUUGGCCAUUGGACCUUGAAGCGGCUAAAGCAAAAAUAGAAAUUGAGACCACUCCAAAGAGGUGAGAUCCCUUCUUUGUGGUUUCCUCCAUGCUGGGCAGCCAGAACCAUUGGGCUAUGGAGAAAUUUGGACUGACAGGAUGCAACGGAAGCUCCCCUAGCCAGAGAAACUGUCCAGCCCUGGCACAGUGCUUCCAUUUCAUCCUGGCAGUGGCCAACUGGGACAGACCAUCACAUAUGGUAUCACAUGACGAUUCCCUGCUACACGCAGAAAGCAACAAUAAUAAAACCAUGAGUACUGCUGUCA